CAUUCCUUUCCUUAGGAAACUCUUAUAUAUGUAGCUAUUCUUUGAAAUUUUAUAUGAUACUGUGUGGCUUGAUUUUGAUUUCUCAUUAUUCUUUUUGCAUCGAGCAGCUUGCGAUGAUUUCCAAAAAUGACCCACUUACAUGCAUUGACUGCCAGUUGGAGACAUUCAAGAGACAACUAAUGCAGUCGCGAAAUGAUGAUAAGUCUCAUCUGUAACAUUUUUUCGAUCAUGGUGGUUGAUAACUCUUACACUGAGUUUGUUUUCUACCUUGGUCUUUUAUUGACGAUGAGUGCUACUAGUGGACAUCGCUCACACCUGGUAUUUAAUGGGUAAGUACACUGCUUGUUUUCAUUCUUAAAAGGUGUGUCAUUGUUUUGGGGGUGUUCAUUGUUGUGUUGAGUUAUUGAAUAGUCGUUUAAUUCUUAUUCUUGUGUUUUCUGAUGACCUACAUAGAGAUUUGGUCUUCCAGCAUGGAGUCCGCGUGGUAGACAAACAAUGGAGAACUAAUGUUGAACUCUGAUGGGCGUACCAGGUAUAAAUCAAAUCCCUGACUAUAUGGCAUCGGAGCCUUAUUGUUUGUUUCAGAGUCAUCACCCUGAGAUGGAGAUAUAUGUUAUUUUGGUACCGUAUGGGAUCAGAAUGUGAUUGUUUAUUUCAGAGUUAUAGCCCUAAGAUGGCGAUGUGUGUUCUAUUGGUUUGCAGAUUUUUACCUGUAAAUCUAAUUGGUUGUGCUUCCUUUGAAAGACUCUCUAUGUGGUGAAAGCUUCUUUGUGUACCUCUCUCAUCCAUGGAGUUGAUUGCUAACUUCUUAGG
Long non-coding RNA from Rhododendron vialii, 813 nucleotides. RefSeq lists it as uncharacterized. The transcript is spliced from 2 exons. NCBI's taxonomy places the organism in Eukaryota, Viridiplantae, Streptophyta, Magnoliopsida, Ericales, Ericaceae. The record is from RefSeq and is a predicted model, not a curated record.